AUCCAGGCAUCACGGAUAUCUCGCUCUCGCAUCGAUGAAGAAACGUAAGCGAAAUGCGAUACUUGUGCUGAAUUGGCUAGAAUCCGUGAACCAUCGAGUCUUUGAUCUGCAAGUUGACGCGCGAUAGCGUUAGGGCCGAGCACUCGCCUGUGCGUCA
Ipomoea nil (Japanese morning glory) is the source of this 157-nucleotide ribosomal RNA. It matches the Rfam family "5.8S ribosomal RNA". Rfam says of the family: 5.8S ribosomal RNA (5.8S rRNA) is a component of the large subunit of the eukaryotic ribosome. It is transcribed by RNA polymerase I as part of the 45S precursor that also contains 18S and 28S rRNA. NCBI's taxonomy places the organism in Eukaryota, Viridiplantae, Streptophyta, Magnoliopsida, Solanales, Convolvulaceae. The record is from Rfam.